Molecule: small RNA, 671 nt
Filed under: Pan troglodytes (chimpanzee)
Lineage: Eukaryota; Metazoa; Chordata; Mammalia; Primates; Hominidae
Description: processed transcript
Source: RNAcentral
GGGAGACCUUAUUAUCUUCAUUUUCCCAAUGAGAUGAGAAUCCCAAGCAGCACAUUCCCCUGGAGGAGUACGCUGCGAACCUGAAGAGCAUGGUGCAGUACCUGAAGUCCGUGGACAUCCCUGAGAAUCGAGUCAUUCUCAUCACGCCGACCCCACUUUGUGAAACAGCCUGGGAAGAACAGUGCAUCAUACAAGGUUGCAAACUAAAUCGCCUGAACUCUGUUGUUGGUGAAUAUGCCAAUGCGUGUUUACAAGUGGCCCAAGACUGUGGGACUGAUGUACUUGACCUGUGGACCCUGAUGCAGGACAGCCAGGACUUCUCAUCUUAUUUAUCAGAUGGACUACAUUUGUCUCCAAAGGGGAAUGAAUUUUUGUUCUCGCAUCUCUGGCCUUUGAUAGAGAAAAAGGUCUCUUCUCUACCUUUGCUGCUUCCUUACUGGCGGGAUGUAGCAGAAGCAAAACCUGAAUUAAGUCUGCUGGGAGAUGGAGACCAUUAGCCAAUCACAGGAGACCCAAAUCUGCUUGUUAUCUACAGAACUCAAAGUUGUCAAUAUGUAGAGGUACGCUUUUUUCCUCAGGCUUAAACCUUUGCCACUGAUAUUAAUAAUAUAUUAAUAAUAAAAGUAUUAGAUUUUUCAGGGAAGUUUUAUACUUAGGUCCAUUGUGUUUCG